UACGGAGGGUGCGAGCGUUGUCCGGAAUCACUGGGCGUAAAGGGCGCGUAGGCGGCCCACGGUAGUCUGUGGUGAAAGCCCGGGGCUCAACCUCGGGUCGGCCACGGAUACUCCGGGGCUCGAGUCUGGUAGAGGCUCAUGGAAUUCCGGGUGUAGCGGUGGAAUGCGUAGAGAUCCGGAAGAACACCGGUGGCGAAGGCGGUGAGCUGGGCCAGAACUGACGCUGAGGCGCGACAGCGUGGGGAGCAAACAGG
RNAcentral lists this ribosomal RNA (254 nucleotides) under uncultured bacterium. Its description in RNAcentral is "partial 16S ribosomal RNA". It matches the Rfam family "Bacterial small subunit ribosomal RNA", at positions 524 to 776 of the family's 1533-position model. The record is from RNAcentral.